RNAcentral lists this transfer RNA (78 nucleotides) under Pyramidobacter piscolens W5455. Its description in RNAcentral is "tRNA-Thr". It matches the Rfam family "tRNA". Rfam says of the family: Transfer RNA (tRNA) molecules are approximately 80 nucleotides in length. Their secondary structure includes four short double-helical elements and three loops (D, anti-codon, and T loops). Lineage: Bacteria; Thermotogati; Synergistota; Synergistia; Synergistales; Dethiosulfovibrionaceae. The record is from RNAcentral.
GGCCGGCGUAGCUCAGUUGGUAGAGCAGCUGACUUGUAAUCAGCAGGUCAUCAGUCCGAGUCUGAUCGCCGGCUCCAG